Molecule: long non-coding RNA, 107 nt
Organism: Drosophila guanche
Lineage: Eukaryota; Metazoa; Arthropoda; Insecta; Diptera; Drosophilidae
Exons: 2
Source: RefSeq, a predicted model, not a curated record
UGGCUCUGGUAGCCUGCUCGGGGACUAUCAGCGUGGACAAACAUCGCCUGUUCAGGCAGUCGUGCCCAGAGGAGGACACAGGAGAUUGAAAUGGGAUAAGGCGAUGG